CCGUUAUUUCGCCAUACCUCUUUCCUUUCAUCACCGUUCUCUCUCUCUCUCUUUUAUACAUGAGCUGAAUAUGCAUGAUCGGGUUCAGGGUAAAGGAUUCGGUUAAGGGUACAAUGGAGAUCAUAUAUGGUCUAAGUGGGAGAGCAGUUAGAGACCGUUGAGAAAGAAACACCGAAUCAAUCGGACUUGUUGAGUAGAUCGAUGAGUUUAACUAUGAUUCUCAAAUAUGUAAACUGAUUCACUUCAUAUUUUUUGCUGUUCUAUAGAUCUUCUUGGACUAUGAAGUGGGUUUGUAAGAAGAUCUUGGUCUCACAUCUAAUUGCUCAUGAUAAGUUGAGAUGUGAUCUCAGUAUCUUAUUGAACUUUUAAGACUGUCUAUAUCGGAGUACUAAUGCCUGAAUGGGAUUGUGUUUCUGUGACCA
Long non-coding RNA from Camelina sativa (false flax), 422 nucleotides. RefSeq lists it as uncharacterized. NCBI's taxonomy places the organism in Eukaryota, Viridiplantae, Streptophyta, Magnoliopsida, Brassicales, Brassicaceae. The record is from RefSeq and is a predicted model, not a curated record.